GGUGGGGAGUGACGUCAAGUCAUCAUGGCCCUUACGGCCUGGGCUACACACGUGCUACAAUGGUCGGUACAAAGGGUUGCCAAGCCGCGAGGUGGAGCUAAUCCCAAUAAAACCGAUCGUAGUCCGGAUCGCAGUCUGCAACUCGACUGCGUGAAGUCGGAAUCGCUAGUAAUCGUGAAUCAGAAUGUCACGGUGAAUACGUUCCCGGGCCUU
RNAcentral lists this ribosomal RNA (213 nucleotides) under uncultured Pseudomonas sp. Its description in RNAcentral is "partial 16S ribosomal RNA". It matches the Rfam family "Bacterial small subunit ribosomal RNA", at positions 1172 to 1382 of the family's 1533-position model. Lineage: Bacteria; Pseudomonadati; Pseudomonadota; Gammaproteobacteria; Pseudomonadales; Pseudomonadaceae. The record is from RNAcentral.